RNAcentral lists this ribosomal RNA (764 nucleotides) under uncultured bacterium. RNAcentral's name for it is "bacterial SSU rRNA". It matches the Rfam family "Bacterial small subunit ribosomal RNA", at positions 28 to 787 of the family's 1533-position model. The record is from RNAcentral.
AUUGAACGCUGGCGGCAUGCCUAACACAUGCAAGUCGAACGGCAGCGCGGGCUUCGGCCUGGCGGCGAGUGGCGGACGGGUGAGGAAUGCAUAGGAAUCUGCCCAGUUGUGGGGGAUAACGUAAGGAAACUUACGCUAAUACCGCAUACGACCUCGGGUGAAAGUGGGGGACCUUCGGGCCUCACGCGAUUGGAUGAGCCUAUGCCGGAUUAGCCAGUUGGCGGGGUAAGAGCCCACCAAGGCGACGAUCCGUAGCUGGUCUGAGAGGAUGAUCAGCCACACUGGAACUGAGACACGGUCCAGACUCCUACGGGAGGCAGCAGUGGGGAAUAUUGGACAAUGGGCGAAAGCCUGAUCCAGCAAUGCCGCGUGGGUGAAGAAGGCCUUCGGGUUGUAAAGCCCUUUUGUACGGGAAGAAAUACCACUUGUUAAUACCGGGUGGGGAUGACGGUACCGUAAGAAUAAGCACCGGCUAACUUCGUGCCAGCAGCCGCGGUAAUACGAAGGGUGCAAGCGUUAAUCGGAAUUACUGGGCGUAAAGCGUGCGUAGGUGGUUUGUUAAGUCUGAUGUGAAAGCCCUGGGCUCAACCUGGGAAUGGCAUUGGAUACUGGCUUACUAGAGUGCGGUAGAGGGUAGCGGAAUUUCCGGUGUAGCGGUGAGAUGCGUAGAGAUCGGAAGGAACAUCUGUGGCGAAGGCGGCUACCUGGACCAGCACUGACACUGAGGCACGAAAGCGUGGGGGAGCAAACAGGAUUAGAUACCC